GUCCACUGCUCAGGGAACUACAGGGCGAUCGGAACGCACCUUAUGAGUUGUAUAACAUAACAAAUUAUCUUGAAGGAGUAGAUAUUUACCAGAAGUCAUCAAUGUGGAAACGAAGCGCUCACUGCACAACACCUGGCUCAAACAGGACUGCUGGUGUCUGCUUGUGCCAAAAGCAGGUAAACCUGGGACACAUGACCUGUCAGCUGCAUCUCACAGGAUUCCCACUGCAUCACACCGCCUGCUACACAGAAGAGCCUGAUGGUGGAUUAUCAUUAUUAAUAUCAUAUGUUUAUCCUUGUUAAUGGUUUGAUUUGUUUCGGUUGUAUCUUGUAAUUUAAUCUCAUUUAUCUAUUUUUUUUAAUCUAGCUUUUAUUUACCUCUGUAUCAUUAUUUUUAAACCUCUUAAAUUGAUUUUGAUAUAAUUUUUCAU
Molecule: long non-coding RNA, 430 nt
Organism: Myripristis murdjan (pinecone soldierfish)
Lineage: Eukaryota; Metazoa; Chordata; Actinopteri; Holocentriformes; Holocentridae
Exons: 3
Source: RefSeq, a predicted model, not a curated record